AUCAAAUAAAUGCAAGUAGGGAUAACUGCAGGCUUGAGCAAUGGGCGUGCUGAGAGGUAGGGGGCGUGCCAAAAUGUUUCUCAUUGGCCAAAGGAGCUUCUGCGUUGGCCAAUCAGCGGUAACCAUACUUUUACAAAACAUGGCGGCGGUAAGAUGGUGGUAAUUAUUUUCCUUCGCACAGUAUUUUUCAAUUUUAGUAAUUAUUUAACUGUUGUUGACAGACACGUUACUGUGAGACAAAGCAAUGACUGUAUUUGCAUCGAAGCUUGUAUCGAUGUUCAUUUCGUGCAACCAAUGUUUUUAAAAGAUAUGAAAGACAAGAUACUUGGACAUUUUGCGCAGCUCAUCGUGAACGUAAGAAUAUUUGAUGAAAUCCACGUUGAGAUAAUUUGUUAAUGUGAUAACGUGAAUGGCGAUGUUACAUUUAAAAUCGUAUCAUGAUACGUACGUCAAACAUAGUUUGCUUUAUGUUUAUUUUUACUAUUUUAAAGUGUGUCUGUUGUUCUGCUGUUAUAGAUUUAUUUUUUAUUGAAAAUGUGACAAAUUCAAAAAUAUGACAGAAGACAUAACAGAAAAUAGAGGCAAACAAAUAUACAAAAUAAAUAUAAAAAAUACACAAAAAACAAAGAGAAAUGUAUAAAUACAUAUAGAAUGUGUAGUGCAAACAUAUUCCACAGCCUUUCGAUAUAUAGGAGAGAAGAGUAUAUAAAAAAAUAAUAAUAAUACUAAAAUACAUUUGUAAUAUAUACUGUUACUACUAAUAAUAAUAUCCAGUUGUAACAUAUUGUGUAACAUACAUUGUGCACAAUUUUACUGUAGUUUGUAUUAAAUUUUUACGACAGGUUGAUGUUUCUGCACAAAACUGCAUUCUAUUUCCAUCAUGGAUGAAGUCACACUGGAUGGUUUGUGUAAGUCAUAAUUAAGACAUUUUUGAUGAUUCAGUUUUUUGUUUUUUUUUAAAUUUGCUAUGCAAGAAUAGUCUAAGUGAUGGCAGAUACAGUCCAAGUGUACAGGUCUUUUACAUACAAGUUCAGUAGUUCAUGUUCGGAAAUACCAGUUGAACAGUUCUUUUUCAAAUGUUCUCAACUGCUGUCUGGUUGUUCUGUUCUAAAUCAUUCAGUGUUUUUAUUUUCCUUUUCUGUUUUUGUGUCUUGGUGGCUCUUAUGGGAAUGAUGAUGUCUGAAGUGUAUUGUCAUUUUUAAAGCUGAAAAUUUAAAUGUGAUAUGCAUAUUUAAAUGUAAUAUUCAUAUUAAUUUUAAUAACAGAGACAAUGUAAAACACGUACUGUAGUGCUGUUACUAAAGAUUCAUUUACAGUUGCCUAAUGUUGCUGACCUUUGUGAAUUUGGGUACAUUUAAUAGGAGGGUUGCUCAGACAAUUUUUUCUGGACAUUGGACUGAGUUACCCUGUAAAGAUCUUCCAGUCUCCUUAAGAACAAAAAGUUGAAGGCUCGGGCAACCAUGGCCUAACGGCAGGGAUAGUAGGUGAAGGGAGUGAAUGUACAGUACUCUUUUCCACCUUCAAUACCAUGACUGAGCCAUGGACCCAUCAGGAAGUCAUGCUGAUGUACGAUUGAAUAUUACUUAUAUAUGUUAUAUGAUUCACAGAUUUAUAAAUGUGCUUUAGAAAAAUUACUGGUAUGCGUCUUGAGACAAAACAAAGGCACUGAUAUAUUUUAAGAUCAGUCAGUGCAAAUGUCUUUCAGUUGAAACAGCUCAGAUUUACAUUUUAGUCUGAGACUAGGCUUAAGCCUUGUCUGUGAAACCGGGGGUAUAUGUUUUUUCUUUAUUCCAGCUCCCGUCAGACCUGCUAAAACAGAUUCAUCUGGAUGUUGUGUAUGAAGAAGGAUGCUGGAUACUGUGGCAUCAGAAAAAAUGGGAUUUUCACAGCGCUCUAUUCCAACAGAGUGUUUGAUGGCUUCUGUUCUAUGGACUGCUACUACAGCAUGGAUGUAUAAAUUGAUGGAUUCAUGAAUUUGGGUGGGAUUUUUAUUUAUCUAUUUAUUUUUUUGUGUAUACAAGCUGAAACUGAAUAAA
Molecule: long non-coding RNA, 2036 nt
Organism: Labeo rohita (rohu)
Lineage: Eukaryota; Metazoa; Chordata; Actinopteri; Cypriniformes; Cyprinidae
Exons: 4
Source: RefSeq, a predicted model, not a curated record